GAUACUAACUUCCGGGGAGGCCAGCUCUGCGUUCCGAGCCCCGCCGCUGGGGCGGGCGGCUGGGGGGACCUCCGCGAGGCGGGCGGUGACCGGAACUCGGGCCCCCGCCCCAGGUCUCGAGGUCUGGGGGAGAUGACGUGGACUUGUACGGGAGAACCUGGGAGUGAGGUCCAUGCCGAGGCCAGGAAGGAGCCCAGGAGGCCUGGCCGCGGCCUGACCACGGGCAGAUCCCAGACGGCUUGGAGGUGGAAACGGGCGAGAGGAGAGUUACCGAGCAGGAGGACGCGGCCUGGGGCCUCGUCAGAAGGGACUUGAACAGACUGAGCCCGGAACAGCUCAUGACCCCUACGCUGCAAAGCCACCGCGCCCCCGUUCUCCAGAUGAAAGCGUGGCCAGGCGUGGUGGCCUUGCCUCUCCUUCCAGCACUGGGGAAGGCCUAGGCAGGAGGGGCCUCGGCCACAGGGAGAGUAAAUACUAAAGUCUGGAAGAAAUAGGUUUGAAAGUUCAGAAUUAGAAUUCAUAUCCCUCACCUGCAUUUGAGAUCUAACAGUUGAUGAGAAAUACACAAAAGUGCCUCACUAAAAGUGGACAGAAUAUUUGAAAACCUAAUUCACAUUUAAAAAAAUACUUGCCAUGAUCAAAACAGCACGGAGCCCACAGGGAGGCUGCAGGAGGACCUUCUGUGGUGAAGUGUGAGUGCUUCCCCGCACUAGACACGUCUCGUCGUGGAUGCGUGUCUCCAUCUACCCUGACGUGUAGAGACCCCUGGCGUCUUGGGCUGUGGCUGACUCCAGUAAGCUCUGACUCACCCGUGUGCAGACGUGGAGGUGCUCGUGCCGCUCUCCUUCUCCUGUGAGGGGACAUGAACAUUCAUAGAUCUUGCUCUGUGRCCCAGGCUGUCCUUGAACUCAUCAACUUCGUGCCCAAGCCUGACUGUGUGCCACCAUGUACCACCGUCUUGAUGUAUCUCGUGAAGAGAACCGGCUGAUUUUUGGGGGGUGUGCGCACUCUCCAGCCUCCCAUUGGCCAUGCUGACCUCAGGCUUCCCUCUGGUGCAGCUUUCCGUGGCGGCGUGGGGCUCUGUUUCCAGCCUGCCGAGGCCAUCCUGCAGCUUUCUGUGCUCAUGUGCCACCGUACCCCCUGGGUGAAGAACUUGUGGUGAUCAUUAGCCCAACUGUAGACUCCAGCUCUGUAGCUCUUAGUGGGUCCUGGG
This is a non-coding RNA of Urocitellus parryii (Arctic ground squirrel), 1213 nucleotides long. The record is from RefSeq and is a predicted model, not a curated record. NCBI's taxonomy places the organism in Eukaryota, Metazoa, Chordata, Mammalia, Rodentia, Sciuridae.